RNAcentral lists this non-coding RNA (24 nucleotides) under Arabidopsis thaliana (thale cress). The record is from RNAcentral. Lineage: Eukaryota; Viridiplantae; Streptophyta; Magnoliopsida; Brassicales; Brassicaceae.
CAUUAGAUAUCUUUACGCAUCAGG